Molecule: non-coding RNA, 100 nt
Filed under: Photobacterium halotolerans
Lineage: Bacteria; Pseudomonadati; Pseudomonadota; Gammaproteobacteria; Vibrionales; Vibrionaceae
Description: c-di-GMP sequence
Rfam family: c-di-GMP-I riboswitch aptamer
About the family: GEMM was predicted in a large-scale screen for bacterial structured RNA regulatory elements.
Source: Rfam by way of RNAcentral
UCACGAACAAGGCAAACCAUUUGAAAGAAUGGGACGCAAAGCUUCCGGCCUAAAAGUAAUUACUAAAUAAGUUUUUACUCAUGGUAGCGGGGUUGCCGAU